RNAcentral lists this ribosomal RNA (753 nucleotides) under Daia tannicola. RNAcentral's name for it is "LSU rRNA". It matches the Rfam family "Eukaryotic large subunit ribosomal RNA", at positions 82 to 855 of the family's 3401-position model. The record is from RNAcentral. Lineage: Eukaryota; Fungi; Ascomycota; Dipodascomycetes; Dipodascales; Trichomonascaceae.
AGUAGCGGCGAGUGAAGCGGCAAAAGCUCAAAUUUGAAAUCUGGUACUUUCGGUAUCCGAGUUGUAAUUUGUAGAGGUAACUUUGAACAUGAGUCUUGCAUAAGUUCCUUGGAAAAGGACGUCAUAGAGGGUGAGAAUCCCGUUUAUGGUAGGACCCCCAGUUUGUGUAAAGUGCCUUCGAAGAGUCGAGUUGUUUGGGAAUGCAGCUCUAAGUGGGUGGUAAAUUCCAUCUAAAGCUAAAUAUUUGCGAGAGACCGAUAGCGAACAAGUACAGUGAUGGAAAGAUGAAAAGAACUUUGAAAAGAGAGUGAAAAAGUACGUGAAAUUGUUGAAAGGGAAGGGCUUUAAAUCAGACAUGGUAUUCAGUGAUCAGCUUCCUUUCGGGGUUGUGCACUCGCUGUUUACCGGGCCAACAUCAGUUUAGAGGGUAGGAUAAUAGUAAAAGAACGUAGCUUGUUUACAAGUGUUAUAGCUUUUAUUGAUACUACCACUCUGGACUGAGGACUGCGCAUUUUAUGCUAGGAUGUUGGCGUAAUGGUUUUAAGCCACCCGUCUUGAAACACGGACCAAGGAGUCUAACGCCUAUGCGAGUGUUUGGGUGUAAAACCCGUACGCGAAAUGAAAGUGAACGUAGGUGAGGGCCCGUAAGGGUGCAUCAUCGACCGAUCCUGAUGUUUUCAGAUGGAUUUGAGUAAGAGCAUAGUUGYUGGGACCCGAAAGAUGGUGAACUAUGCCUGAAUAGGGUGAAGCCAG